Molecule: long non-coding RNA, 1187 nt
Filed under: Gossypium barbadense (sea-island cotton)
Lineage: Eukaryota; Viridiplantae; Streptophyta; Magnoliopsida; Malvales; Malvaceae
Description: long non-coding RNA (GBAR_LNC015005)
Source: RNAcentral
GAAUUUAGGGGUAUAGGGUUAAUUAUUAGGGUUUAGGGUUUACUGAGGGUUAUAGAUGUUUUAGGGGUUUGGCCGGGGUUUAGGGUUUCUUAAUAGGUUAAUAUUAGAUUGAUUAAUUUUGGAGGUAAAUAUAUAUGUUCUUAUAUAUUUGUAAAAUAUAUAUCCAGAAUAAAUUUAAUAUUAAGAUAAGUUUUGAGUAUAAUAGGUAUAAGAUGAUCACUUUAUGCAUGUACGUAGCUACAUAUAUAAAUUGAAUGGUUAAUAUGAAGAUUACAAGGUUAAUUUAUAAUAGAAGACUUGUUAAUAUAACUAAUAAUUAAUAAUAGUUAUAACUGGCAAAACAUUUAACCCAAAUUAACGUCCAUUGUAUAUAUUUUUACUUAUAUAUGGAUAUAUAUGAAUAUAUAUGGAUAUAUAUAUAGUUAUUAAAUAUUUAAUUUGUAAAUAUAGGACCAAACUAAAAUUGGUAUAAAUAAAUAAACAAAUAAAUAAGUUAGUAAUUAUUUAUUUGUUAAAUAAAUUGGUAAUUAAUUAUUUAAAAGUAAGACAAAAAGAAAAUGAGAGUUUUAGCGGCGUUUCUAUAUAAAAACGCCGCAAAAGGUAUCCUUUACCGGCGUUUUAGUAAAAAACGCCACAAUUAUUACAAUAUACGGCGUCGUUCUGUGAAUUAGGGAAUCAGAUUCUAUUGUGGCGUUUUAUAGGGAAGCGCCGCAAAACUUAUAACUUAACUUAAACGGCGUCGUUUCGUCAGCGGACAAAUUCACUUACAUCUCUGCCUCCGUCCUCCAGUUACAGCAACCCUUAACAAAAUUUUCUAAGUGUCAAAAUUACAGAGAGAAGUGUGUAAAAACUUAUCACGAAAAAUAGAAAGGGAAGAAAGGUGGUCGGAGUCGAUCUUGAAAGACGGUGGGCACAGCUGCGAGAUUUGUCGAUUGAAUAGGUAAGCACAUCCGGUUCUGUUUCGAUUAAAUUUUUGGGGUUUUAGGUCAGUCUAAGUUAUUUGGGGUUUUAGGGUUUCGAUUAAACAACAUAAUUUCUGGGGAAUCAUUAGAUGAUGGGGAAUAGGUAAGCCGUCUGUCGUCUUGGAACUGUGUUUGAAUGUUCCUGAUUUUUACUCAUGUCUUCGCCAUCCCUUCUUUCUCUUUUACAGAAGAAAAAAGCGGAAUUUGUUUGAACUGGAACAAGGC